This is a long non-coding RNA of Equus caballus (horse), 3122 nucleotides long. NCBI's taxonomy places the organism in Eukaryota, Metazoa, Chordata, Mammalia, Perissodactyla, Equidae. The record is from Ensembl.
GGUCAUUACCCAGCAGGGCCUCAGCAACCAAGGACUUACAGGCAGGGGUAGGUUGAACGCUACUAUGUGCCAAGCUCUAUCUGCUAUUACCGCAUGUAAUUCUCACAUUAUUUUUUACAGUAGAUAUUAUCCUCAUUUUACAGGAAAAAAACAGCUCAAAGAGAUUCACUCUUCUAAAAUCGUCUGUAUUCUUGGGCAAACAAAAUCUGGCCCCAAGAUCAUUUCCAAUACUGUUGUCAAAUUUUGUUAAUAAUUGCCAUUACCUCAAAGAAAUGUAAAUGAGUUGAGGGUGUGUCUGUGGGACUGACUCAGUUAUCCUACCAAGGUGGGUUCUGAUGCUGCCAUCUACCUGGUGCCAUCAUCUGAAUUCUAGGAAGAACCUUAGGAGGAAGGGAGCUUCCUCCAAAGGACUAACUUUGCAAAUUUCUUAUUUUUUGCCAGCUUUAUUUGCAAAUUUAAACCUAUGCAAUGAUACAGAAUACUCCACCUUGUUAGAUUUUGAACUUGAUAGAAACUGAGGCCAACAGUGAGCUAAUUGUUUCACUUAAUCCAUGAUAACGUCACAAGUCCCAGCCCAUGCUUUUCUCUUUGCCUUUUCUAACCUCUCUUCUGUGGACUUUCUUUUGACCCUGCCAUGUCUUAGGUACCUAGCACUUUCUUGGUUUUGAAAGACAUGCUCUCCUUAGUUAUCAACUAAUCCCUGCAGAGAAGGUACUCGAGGGUGUGUGUUUGUUCCUUUCAAAGGAUUUUAUGUUGCUGUUGUGAAUACUUGAAAGGCUUUGAGUGCUAAGCAAUGGAAUUUAGGCGUGGUGACUAGAUAGAUUCCUUGGUUUAGGAAUUGUUUAGGGUUGUAGGAGUGGGUUUAUCCAGCACCAUUCCCAUGCCUCCAUGUAGGUCCCACUCAGUUGAAGUCCAUCCUUGGAUGUUUCCCUUGUGAAUGCAGUGCAUUAGGUUUUUGGAGAAGCUUCUGGUAGUUGGGUACUAAUGACUUUUACCUGGCAGUGAUAGCAGUUGAGUUUGCUUUUCUGGCCAGGACUUAGAGAGGAAAUAUGCCGUAUUGGACAUUGGCAUCAGCACCUUGCCCACCUCCAGUCAAUGUCCAUAAUGUAUUUUAGCUGUUGGCCUCCCUCCCCAGAGACAAUAGGAAGAGGUGCUUUUAAAAGGAACACCUCUUCAUUAUAAUUUUGGUCCAGGAGAAAUCUAUAUUUUGUACUUCUUUCUCCUUUAGUACAUUGCUAGAAUUAUUACAAGCCAAUAUAGGUCGUACAAGGACCUUUUUGGACUCAAGUAUUUUUAGUUACUGAUCUAAAUCAGAGUUGGACAAAAGGUUUCCAUGGAAUUUGUCUUUUCCAUAAAGAUAAAAAUCUCUGUUUAUUAUUAAUCAGUACCAUUUAUUAAGUACAAUACUUACGAUGUAUCAGGCACUGCAUUAGAUAGUCUACAUAUAUUUAGAGAAACAAUAUAGCAGAAUAUUUAAGAGCAAACUCUCUGGACUGAUGAGUUCAAAUCCUGACUGCCUCAUACUAGGAAUGUAACCUUACACAAAUUACCUAAUCCCUCCGUGCCUCAGUAAUAGGCAUCUGUUUGGAGGAUUAAAUGAGUUAAUCUAGGUGAAGUGCUUAGAGCAGUCUCUGAUACCUGGUAAUAGCUCAAUAAAUGUUUUUCUAAUUCUUCCAGUAACCUCCAAGGUAAAUAUUGUUAUCCCCAUUUUAAGAUGAGGAAACUAAGACUCCAAAAUUAAAGACUAUCUCUGAAGUCACACAGAUAGUGACUGGUGGCACUGGUUUUAAACUCAGGGCUGUCAGAUCUCAAGCCCCCUCAACACUUCUCAGCAUAGAAGUUUGGGUUAUUUUUCUGUUUUCUCAGCUUAUGUCUUUGGGGACUGCAAAAGAGGCCCUGGUUUAUGACAUACUGCUGAGCACAUCAAUCAUUUUUUACUCAACAUUUAUUACAUGUGUAAAUAUCUUCUGCAAAUGAAGUAGCAGAACUCUACCAAGGAACAGGGGUUUAUGGACAUUUAGUCUAUGGAAUUAGAAAAUUUUGUGACUGUAUAUUAAAGGGAAGAUCUGAAAUAACAAAGCUUUACCACAAAUGUGUGUGACUCCUGAUCUCCCAGAGAGGGAAGUGCCAGGAAGUAUUAGGGGCCUAAUACUUUUCCUGGCAACAAUCCUGCUUCUCUCUGGGAGGGUUCACCACCCUCUCUGUGUCUGAGGAGACACAGCACGUUUAUUUUAUGGCAUGGCAGGGCAGUCAGGGGAGCAUUUAUAACUGUUCUCUACCAAGUUGCACCAUACACCCAACUUUCGAGUUUACGUUCUAGAACAGGGUCCUCCUGGUAGGCAGAGAUCUAAUCUCAGUCUUAAAGUACUACUGGUAGAACUCCAAGUUGAUUGUUGACACUAUCUGCCAGCAGGCACUCCCAGGGAAGACAAACCCUCAAACAAUGAUCUUCCCUCUCCUACCGCACUGCUGUCUUCAUAUACUCACCCAGGGACUUGAAGGUUCCUCUUCUGCCUGUUCCUUCAGUGUUACGUGUCCUCGGAGUUCCUGCCUGAUCUCUGUUUCUCACUGUAGUUCACGUCCCCUACUCCCACCCCUCCCAACCCCAGGCAAUCUCCUCCUUCCUCACCCAUAACUCUAAUAACCCUUUCUAUGUUAAAUCCUCAGUUCAGAUCUUUCUCUCAUGCCUCAGGUCCUUAUCGCUCACCAACCACUGGACAUCUCCACUUGGACAUCCCAUAGAUACCUCCAAAUCAAUCAGUUUAAAACUGAGCUCAUUAUCCUUUCUCUCCUGAAUCAUCUCCUUUCCCACCCAAAUUUGCUUCUCCCACUGUGUUUGUAAUCUGUUCUUCAUACUACAGCCAGAGGGAUCUCUCUAAAAUGAAAAUCUGAUAAUGUUUCUCCUAUUUAAAAUCCUUCAGGGGCCAGCCCCGUGGCUGAGUGGUUAAGUUUGCACGCUCCACUUUGGCAGCCAGGGGUUCGCAAGUUCGGAUCCUGGGUGCAGACCUAGCACUGCUCAUCAAGCCAUGCUGUGGUGGUGUCCCACAUAGCAGAACUAGAAGGACCUACAACUAGAAUGUACAACUAUGUACUGGGGGGCUUUGGGGAGAAGAAGAAAAAAA